RNAcentral lists this ribosomal RNA (835 nucleotides) under Microdochium seminicola. RNAcentral's name for it is "eukaryotic LSU rRNA". It matches the Rfam family "Eukaryotic large subunit ribosomal RNA", at positions 73 to 938 of the family's 3401-position model. Lineage: Eukaryota; Fungi; Ascomycota; Sordariomycetes; Xylariales; Microdochiaceae. The record is from RNAcentral.
AUGCCCUAGUAACGGCGAGUGAAGCGGCAACAGCUCAAAUUUGAAAUCUGGCCCUCGGGUCCGAGUUGUAAUUUGUAGAGGAUGAUUUUGGUUAGGUACCUUCCGAGUUCCUUGGAACAGGACGCCUUAGAGGGUGAGAGCCCCGUACGGUUGGAUGCCGAGCCUCUGUAAAUCUCCUUCGACGAGUCGAGUAGUUUGGGAAUGCUGCUCUAAAUGGGAGGUAAAUUUCUUCUAAAGCUAAAUACCGGCCAGAGACCGAUAGCGCACAAGUAGAGUGAUCGAAAGAUGAAAAGCACUUUGAAAAGAGGGUUAAAUAGUACGUGAAAUUGUUGAAAGGGAAGGGCUUGUGACCAGACCUUUGCCUUGCGGAUCAUCCGGUGUUCUCACCGGUGCACUCCGCUUGGUUGAGGCCAGCAUCAGUUUCGGCGGCGGGAUAAAGACUUCAGGAACGUGACUCCCCCGGGAGUGUUAUAGCCUGCUGUGUAAUACCGCCGCUGGGACUGAGGACCGCGCUUCGGCUAGGAUGCUGGCAUAAUGGUCAUCAGCCACCCGUCUUGAAACACGGACCAAGGAGUCGAACAUUUAUGCGAGUUUUUGGGUGUUAAACCCUCAAGCGUAAUGAAAGUGAACGGAGGUGAGAGCCCUUACGGGUGCAUCAUCGACCGAUCCUGAUGUCUUCGGAUGGAUUUGAGUAAGAGCAUAACUGUUCGGACCCGAAAGAUGGUGAACUAUGCGUGGAUAGGGUGAAGCCAGAGGAAACUCUGGUGGAGGCUCGCAGCGGUUCUGACGUGCAAAUCGAUCGUCAAAUCUGCGCAUGGGGCGAAAGACUAAUCGA